AAUUCGCUUUCCUAACUGCGCUUGUGCAUCCUUCAAGCAUGGCUGGUGGUGAUUGGACGACGGGUAGCAGGGGGCAGAGGGUACCGAUGUCUGGUUUUGAGCAGCAGUUGAAACCGCUACUGCAACCAACAAGAACUUGAGAACUGUAAAUAUCAAGUCUUGAAAGGGAUCAUGGUGCGGCCUGUAAGACAUAAGAAACCAGUCAAUUACUCACAGUUUGACAACUCUGACAGUGAUGAUGAUUUUGUUUCUGCAACUGUACCUUUAAACAAGAAAUCCAAAACAACACCUAAGGAGUUAAAACAAGAUAAACCAAAACGUAACUUGAACAAUCUCCAGAAAGAAGAAAUCCCAGUAUGAGAGAAAACCCCUAAAAAAAGGAUGGCUUUCGAUGACAAGCUCUCCCAGAGAGCUUUUGCACUAGCUUUAUCAGUGAAGGAACUCCAACAGUCACCACUAAUGUGCAGAAGUCUCAAGAUAAAAGUGCUGAAAAACAUGUCAACAGUAAAAUAGAAGCAAUGAAUAAGUCUCCUCAUAUCUCUAAUUGCAGUGUAGCCAGUGAUUAUUUAGAUUUGGAUAAGAUUACUGUGGAAGAUGAUGUUGGUGGUGUUCAAGGGAAAAGAAAAGCAGCAUCUAAAGCUGCAGUACAGCAGAGGAAGAUUCUUCUGGAAGGCAGUGAUUGUGAUAGUGCUAAUGAUACUGAACCAGACUUUGCAUCUGGUGGAGAUUCUGAGGAUGAUUCUGGUUUUGGUGAGAGCAAGGAUAAGGAUGAAGAAUUCUCUAUGAGAAAAAGUAAAGUUAAAGAAAUUAAAAAGAAAGAAGUGAAGGUAAAAUCCCCAGUAGAAAAGAAAGAGAAGAAAUCUAAAUCCAAAUGUAAUGCUUUGGUGACUUCGAUAGACUCUGCUCCAGCUGCUGUCAAAUCAGAAUCUCAUUCCUCACCAAAAAAGGAUUCUCUUUCUUCAGAUGUCACUAGGAAACCAUUACAAAUACGCAGUCCUUCAGCUGAAAAUAAGAGACCUAAAUGGGUCCCACCAGAUAUGGUAUAUUUAUCAUCAAGGGCAGUAGCUUGGAAAAUUAUCACUGCGGCAUCUGGAGGUAGCAGAAAUAGCAGCAGCCCACUGGCAGUAGUAUCUGUGAAGUCUCCAAAUCAGAGUCUCCAUCUUGGCUUGUCCAGAUUAGCACGAGUUAAACCUUUGCAUCCGAAUGCCACUAGCAGCUGAGUGUGGUACCAGAGGAAUGUUUGGUUGAGAGAAUCGCAGCUUUACAAGGGUGUUUAUAUUUAAUUUGUGUUUAUAUUUGAGGCAGGUAUUGUAAUAUAAAGGAAUCCAUUACCAUGUCCUAUAAAUGGUCUCUAGCUAUUUUAGGUUUAUGUUCUCUGUAAAGCUCUUCAAGCCUUCAGUGAGAGUUUUGUCUAUAAGAACUGUCUUCUCAUGCCUUUCCUUGUGAAGAGCAUAUUCUAUUUUUCUAUCAGUUCUACAUGAAGGAAGUCCACAUCACAUGCUGUUCUUUUCUAGUUACAUGAUGUGCCUUUCUGGCUUUAGCUAGUUUAUAGCACCUUAACUGUUCAGUUUUAUCUGGCAGAGGAAACAUUCUUAUUUUUCAGAAGACAUUUCUGAAAUCUUACAUGCUACUGAAGCUACCUUGUCAGUUUUAUUGCAAAGGUUUUUUGUAUUUUAGCCAAAUCUUUUUAUAGUAUGAAUUUGGAAAUAUUUUAUACACUAAAAUGGUUGUGGUUUUAUGGCAUGCAUCUCCUAUGUAGAUGGUUAUUCUAUAGCAAAUAGAAUUUAAAGACAUUUUAUUAAAUCUUCAUUGUCAAAACCUUUAAUAAAAGUGGAAACAUUUUGAAGUGCUCUUUUUCUUGAUGCCACUGCAUCCACCUGUUCCUGAUUGUCCACAUUUCAUGAUAAAAUGAGAGCUCUGCAGAGAAUGUUACCCUUUUUGUUGUAAAUAUGAACAAGGGAAAGCUGUUUCUUUAAGUAGUAACUUUUUGUUAAGUUCUUUUUUUUUUUUAAUUUUUUAUUGGAUUUUAGGUUUUGGGGUACAUGAGCAGAGCAUGCAAGACAGUUGCGUAGGAACACACAUGGCAGUGUGCUUUUCUUUCCUUCUCCCCUUCACCCACAUUUGGCAUUUCUCCCCAGGCUAUCCCUCCCCACCUCCCCCUCCCACUGGCCCUCCCCUUUUCCCCCCAAUAGACCCCAGUGUUUGGUACUCCCCUUUCUGUGUCCAUGUGUUCUCAUUUUUCAUCACCCGCCUAUGAGUGAGAAUAUGCGGUGUUUCAUUUUCUGUUCUUGUGUCAGUUUGCUGAGGAUGACGUUCUCCAGAUUCAUCCAUGUCCCUACAAACGACACAAACUCAUCAUUUCUGAUUGCUGCAUAAUAUUCCAUGGUGUAUAUGUGCCACAUUUUUCCAAUCCAGUCUAUUAUCAAUGGGCAUUUUGGUUGAUUCCAGGUCUUUGCUAUUGUAAACAGUGCUGCAAUGAACAUUCGUGUACAUGUGUCCUUAUAGUAGAACGAUUUAUAGUCUUUUGGUAUAUAUCCAAAAGACUAUAAAUAGAAAGCAGUUGUCAAGCACUUAGUCAUCCCUAUUGUGAUAUUAGAUAAUACAGCUUUUCAGGAAGCUUAGAUUUAAAUUUAUGUUAAAAAACAAUUUAUGUUGAAAAAUAAUUAAUAUUUCAUAUUCAUAAUGAAAAUUUCAACUAGCUGCUGAUCAAUUUUUAAUAAAAAAUUUCAAAUCAUGUUAACUUCAAAAAUAUAUAAUACUUAACUCAGUUUUUCUUGGUUUAUUGAAAUGUCCAUGUUAAUGUGAAAACAAUUAAUUUAGAAUUGUGAUUAAAGUGAGCAUUUGUCUACUGCUAUUGUAUACUUUUUUCUUAUCUAGUGUAUAUUUUUAUAGUGUCAUAUACCAGCCCCCUAACCUACCCCACCUGUCUUCUUUUUAAAAACAUAAUUUCCAGUUAUGUAGCACUGAGGUUCUCUAUUUGGUGCAGAUCAACAAUAAACAAGAGCCUACUCUGUAUUAGGUACUGAUAUAAUUGAUUAAUCAUCUGGCACUAGCUUAAUGACCUGUUUUGCUAUGUUAUUCAUAUUUAUAGUUUAUUUUUUUGAGGGGGGUGUUGAAAAUUGCCUUAAAGUACGUUAAAAUCAGCCUGGCUGAAGGCACUGAUACCUUCAUGUUGCCAAACCCAGUGUACAGUUUUCUCACCUAAUCUUAUACACCCUGUGCAUUAUACUCUGAUGAAAACAUUUCAUUUCCUUGGCUCACAUGAGCCAUUUCUUUGUCAAUUUUUUCCCAUCUCCAUGCCUACUCUUCAUUAUUUUGAAGCUUUCUAAUCUUUUGUGUCACCUGUACCUACUUGUCUUACCAGUUUCACGUUCUAUGCAAACUCCAGUGGUCACUUAUGCAACAGUGACUGCUACGUCAGGAUCUUUACCCUACACCUUGCUCUUGACACAAAACCUGUGGAUGGUCCACUGACAAUUUGAUGUACUGGAUCAGUCAUUGAAUUCAGGCAGAUCACGAGGUCAGGAGAUAAAAACCAUCCUGGCUAACAUGGUGAAACCCCGCCUCUACUAAAAAUACAAAAAAAUUGGCCGGGCUUGGUGGUGGGCACCUGUAGUCCCAGCUACUCAGGAGGCUGAGGCAGGAGAAUCGCUUGAAGCUGGGAGGCAGAAAUUGCAGUAAGCUGGGAUCACACCACUAUACUCCAGCCUGGGUGACACAGUGAGACUUCAUCCCCUCCCCCCCAAAAAAAUUCAACCUCUCCUACCCCUGACAUCAUCCCUACCAUGUUUUCUGUUGGUAAACGAAUGGCCCUGCGAUCACUGCAGGUGCCAAAGGUAAUCCUGGGAUUGAAACUUCUCUCGACCUUCACAUCCAGUCACCAAAUCUUACUCCAUUUCCUAAAUUUCUGAAAGCUAGCCUUCCAUGUGCGCUCCCUUACUCUGAAACACCAAUACUCACUGUUUCUAACAGGGGUCCUUGCCUUGAUUCCUAACCUACUCGGGCCUGCCUUCCAUUGUUACUGCCAUAGAGGGUUUUAUAAAGUAAAGUCAGCAUGAACACCCCUCUACAGUUCACACAUGUAAACCUUACCCUGGUCGAGUUCACAAGCUGCUUCGUGUCUGGCUGGCCCCUUCCUGCUGUUUAACCCUUGUCUGCCCAUGUACACCUUUGAUCCUUGCCCCACUAAACUGGGUGCUGCCACAAUGGUGCCAUGCUUUUCCAUGGCUCUGGCCUUCAGACUAGGACUUGCUUCCUUUAUGUAGCUAACUGCUACCCGUCCGUGAAGACUAAAACUCAACCCAGCUCUUUCAGAAUGUCUUUUCUGCCUGGACCAGACUGUGUGCUCCUCUCCAGGUCAACCUACUGUCAUUCAGUUAUAAAUUUCCCUUUUCAUGUCUUCCUACAACCUGGUGCAGAGUAAGCACUCAAAAAGUGUUCAGCUGAUGAAUGGAUUUAACCUGGAACUUUUGUGAUGCACUUUUUUUUUUCCUCAAAAAAACUUCUAAAUAGAGACGGGGGUGGUGGGCGGUGGGGGAGCGGUCUUACUACAUUGGUCAGGCUAAUCUUCAACUCCAGACCUCAAGUGACCUCCUGCCUGGAACUGCCGAAGCGCUGGGAUUGCAGGUGUAAAACCACCACGCAGGGCCAGAACUUUUGUGAUGCAAUUCUGAUAACCCCAUGCUUUGCUUGAAGAAGGGAAGAGUAGGGAUAAUUUCAAGUGUCUGGUCUGGGCAACCAACAUUAAGCUCUUUUUGCUGGGAUUUUGUUCAGUUUCCUGCCUGUAUUUUAAAGAACUGGGGCAGGAGAAUGCGAGUAGGAGGAUGAGAAAUAUGUUCUUUAGGCUGCUGCUCUGCAAGGUGGUUUGGAACUGGACCAUAGCCUGAGGAAGCCCUUUAAGCUCCGGAAUCACAAAAGGGCGGAAGCCGUUUCUAUAGCGACGGGAGAGGGCGUGGCCGUGUCGCGCGCUCUGCCGGGCGCUCCCAGCCUCCCGCAGAGGUUGGCGGUCAGCGCCGGCCUCUGGCAGCUCCUCUCACCAUCUACCCGCACCAGAAUAAAAGGACCGCGGAGGCUCUUAAUUCGCGAGCAUUCCGGCAAGACUACGAGCCAGCUAGGGUCCGCUACGCUCUUCUAGGACUCACAUGGAUGCUAAAAAGCCAAGGACAUGUGAUUUGACUUCAUCCACAGUUUUGAAAGAAAAGUUAAAGUAUGCUAAGGCCCUUGAGGAAUGGCCACACUGUCUUCCACAAUGGUUGAACUAAUUUACACUCCCAACAGUGUAAAAGUGUUCCUAUUUCUCCACAUCCUCUCCAGCAUCUGUUGUCUCCAGAUUUUUUAAUGACCGCCAUUCUAACUGUUGUGAGAUGGUAUCUCAAUGUAGUUUUGAUUUGCAUUUCUCUGAUGACCAGUGAUGAUGAGCAUUUUUUCACGUUUUUUGUCCUCAUGGAUGUCUUCUUUUGUAAAGUGUCUGUUCAUAUCCUUUGCCCACGAGAAGAAAGCUCAUGAAAACUGGCUUAAAGCUCAUGCGGCAGAAAGAGCUAUAGCCAAAGAGAAAAGGGAAGCUACCAACCUGAGACGCAGAUUACUGGAAUUACCACAAAAGAUGGCAACGCUGCAGGAAGAACCUGUGAUUGUAAAACCAAUGCUGGGAAGACCAAAUACACAAACCCUCCCCAGAGAGGUCCUCUAAGCCAGAUUGGCUUUUUUGGCCCAUCCCCUGUGAGCGGUGGAGAAAGCUUCCCUCCACUGACAGUGGAUCCACCUGGGAGACUGCUCUCUGCUACUGUCAGUCGAAGAGAUAUGCCCAGAAGUGAAUUUGGAUCUGUGGACGGACCUCUGACUCAUCCUCGAUGGUCAGCUGAGGCAUCUGGGAAAUCCUCUCCUGCUGAUCCAGGAUCUGGUACAGCUGCCAUGAUGAACAACAGCUCAAGAGGCUCUUCCCCUACCAGGAUGAUGGAUGAAAGCAAAGUUAAUAUGAUUCCAAAAGGGCCCCCUCCUUUCCCAGGAGUCCCUCUUAUGAGCACCCACAUGGGAGGCCCUGCACCACCACCCAUUCGAUAUGGACCACCACCUCAGCUCUGUGGACCUUGUGGACCUUUUUGGCCUCGGCCAAUUCCUCCACCCUUUGGCCCUGGUAUGCAUCCACCACUAGGCUUAAGAGAAUUUGCACCAGGAAGAUGGGACGUGCCACUCCACCCUUGGGAAUUUUUACCAGGAUAGGCACUAUUUAGAUGUUUAGGUCCUCUUGGCCCAAGAGAGUAACUUAUUCCUGGUACCCGAUUACCUCCCCCAACCCAUGUUCCCCAGGAUUACCCACCACCACCUGCCGCAAGAGACUUACUACCGCCAGGCUCUAGAGACGAGCCUCCUCCUGCCUCUCAGAGCACUAAUCAGGACUGUUCACCGGCUCUAAAGCAGGGCGCAUAACUAUGACCUCUGAUGUUUUAUUGGAGAAAAAAUGGACUGUGCAUUAUUCAUUACAGUAAAAGACUUUAUUGGCUUCAAAAUCCAAUUUAUUUUAAAAGAUCUGUUGUUAGAACUAAGCUGCCUUGGCAGUAUGCACUUUUGAGCCAAACAAUUCAGAAAUGUCAAUUCUUCCCUAAAUAAAAAUCACCUUUUAAGCUAAAAAAAAAAAAGGAGGCCUAUGGCCUCCUUUCUCUUGCACCCGCCCAGGUGCUCACAGCAGCACACACAGCCUCCGAUGACAACUUAUAUUUUCUUCCUAAUGCUUCCCCAUAAUUUGUACUUUUAAAAAUUGAAAGCUAACUGUGGAAUCAUUGCCUAGUGAUUGAUUUCAAGUAGAUGCAGACCUUAGUACCUGAGGGUGAGCUCAGGCCCCACGACAGCAGCUUACACUUGCCCUGCUCUAUUGCUUCAGAUUCCCCAAGGACUGAUAAGUUGGAGAGAUAUCCUAGUAUUUUCCAUUAAUGACAGGUGCCCACAGGAGCUAACAACUGUGGUGGUGCCUGACUUCAACUUUUUAACCCUUCUGAAAUAUUAGGAAAAUUUAGAUUCUAGGGGAUGGAAUAGACCCUUGUCAGUGUAAGAAGAAAGUGAGUCUUCUUCCUCUGCUACCUUUGAAGCACCUAGAGAAGUUCAGGAAUGUGGUCUCCUUUCAUGUGUCGUCUGAGGGAAAGCCAAGGUACAGGUUUCUCUUCUGUCAUUCACCCUCACUAUCAAGGAAGCAGUCACAAAACCAGAAGUGAACCUUUUUCAGAAGGUGGAGGGGCCUGAGCCAAGUUUCUGUAGAACAAAUGCCUGCAUGGCCUGGCAGGGUGGACCACAGGGUGUCAUCUACAGCCUCAUCCAGAGAGAGAGAGAGAGAGAGAGGAGAGAGAGAGAGACAGAGAGAGAUGGGGAGAGAGAGAAAGAGAGACGGAGAGAGACAAGAGAAAGAGGGAGGAUGAUGAUGGUGAUAGUUGGAUCAAUAGAUAUCAAUACAUGAUGGGCAGGAUGAAGACUCCAUUUGUUUCCAAAUGGAAACAAAUUGUUCAGUCUACUCCUUUUCAAUAAUUAUAUGGCUACUUCCUCUCAACUCAUCCAGGCCCUGCCCUGUCCUUAAAGUCCAAUUAAGCUUCAAAACCUUUCCUGGGACCUCCCACCCCAUAGGAAAUCUUUUUCUUUUUCAUGCUCUUAGAGCAUUAUAGAUGGUGCCACCCACUCUGACGCCUCAUCUUAUAGAGUACCAUCCUCCCCCAACCACAAGUGACAUCCAACAACUGUGAUUACACAGAACACGACCUGAGAGAAAGGAAGGAAAACACCCUCAGAAAGGUAGGAGAAUAUUUAUUCCAUUGUUCGUGCAACACCCAACCACCAAAACCGAGCUUAUUAACCUUGAGCUGAUCCAAAGUUAAGCUUGUUCAUAAAACAGUUCUCGUGUCCCUCCAAGUUAACCUUCAGUCUUAAUGGUCACACCCAUUUGGGUACAGGAGCAAUAAGAAAUAGACCAUGAGAACACACAGUCUCUGCAAGAUUUUAUCAUUGAGAGAAUUCCUGAGUUGAUAGCUCUAAAGGAAGAUGCUGUAUUUGCCUACUCUAACCCAUUUUUCAACCUGUUUUUUUUUGAGAUGGAGUUUCACUCUUGUUACCCAGGCUGGAGUGCAAUGGCACAAUCUCGGCUCACCACAACCUCUGCCUCCUGGGUUCAGGUAAUUCUCCUGCCUCAGACUCCUGAAUAGCUGGGAUUACAGGCAUGUGCCACCAUGCCCAGCUAAUUUUUUGUAUUUUUUUAAGUAGAGACGGGGUUUCACCAUGUUGACCAGGAUGCUCUCGAUCUCUUGACCUUGUGAUCCACCCGCGUUGGCCUCCCAAACUGCUGGGAUUACAGGCUUGAGCCACCGCACCCGGUCUAACCUGUUUGUUUUUUAAAAGGCUUCACUAAGGGUUGAUAUGUACCAUUGUAUGGGGCAAUUUUAAGUCAGCUAAGGCAAUAACCUUAUGCAUGAACAUUUCCCAGACUUUCAUGAAGCUGUUGAGGUCCUAGGCAAUUGAUGCAGCAGUUAUGAUAAAAACAUCUCACCUAAGUCUCCUUUUCUUCAUAGCAUAGAUACUAACAUGAUAGGAAGCUUAGGGAAAGAAAACUAGAGUAUAGAACAUGGAUUCAAAAGUGGCUGGAACAAAUUGGCUGACACUUUACUGGUGGUAACCUGCUCUUCCUCUGGUGUUACCCUUCAGGAUUGUUCCACUAAAGUUUAUUUUUCAAAAAAAAAUGCAGUGAGAAAUGACUGCCAGCGGUUUGGAAGGAAAAAACACCGACCAUCAGAAAAGGUGGAGGGAUAUUCAAGGAAGGGUGAGUUUGGCCCACACCAUCAAAAAGAGAUAAAAUUGUGUUCUGUGAAUUCUUUUUUUCAGAGGCAGAGGAGGGCAUCUUUUAAAAAUCUCUAUCAGAUGUGUUCAGAUAAAACGUUUCAGAACUCAAAGCCAACAAGACUCUACAAUGCAAGAAAGCCCAGGUGCUUGGGGCACCUCCCGUCCAAGCCAAGAUGAAUAAAACUCAGGGCACAUCCCCCUUCCUUGCUGUGCCACUGCUUGGCUAUUUCAGGACAUACCUCUUGGUUUCUCACUGUAAGCUCCAAAGAACAGGCCAUACCUUCUGUUUUAUUUCCCUCCUCUCAAUGCCCAGUCCCGUGUUGAGCACUUAGAAGGUGCCUCCAUGCUAGUUAAGUGAAUACAUGAGUGAAUGAACACAUCACACUUCUGAUUCUUCAUCUGAUGUUUUAUUUAGUCCCACUGCCUUGUGUUACUCUAGAGAACGACCAGGAAACAGAUUUCAAAAAAACUAAUUUUUGAAGUAGGUGUGGCCUUGUUACUAGACCACAGUUUCAAAAGCCCCACAGCCCUCAUCACCCCACCCUUCUCCUCACUCCCACCACAAUGAUAAGAAAUAAUCAGGUCUCGCCUAUCACAGUCAGUCAUACUCCAGACUGACCCUACAAAUAGAAGUCCCCAACAAGACGGUCCAGGAGACUGAUUCUCUCUAAAACACUUCCCAAUUUCUUCAUGACCUGGACCUUGUGGCCCAGCUCUUGAGGGGCUCUCCUCUCUCCACCACCCACUAAGCAGACAGACUGGAAGCCCAGUGCCUGCAUAGCUCACAGGCUUGCCGCACGCAUAGAUGCUCACAUCCAAAGCCGUAAGUGUAGCCUCAGACUCUUUGACAGGUAGACAGGAGAAAGAAUACAAGAGGCUGCUGUGGAGGUUCCCAGGGAAGGCAUCCUUCCACUGACGAUUCUGAUUUAGCCCAAGCUGAAGAGAACUCUGCCUGAGAAAGCUUUUUCGCAAAGACUCAUCCAGUCUGCCUUGUCUCAUGACCUUUCUGCAGAACAAUGAGCAAAACUCCUAUCCCAAGAGAGGGAGAUGGGAGAGGGAGAGGGAACACAGGUGCGCUAAUGAGCCAGGGAUGCCGCUCUUGUUGAAAAUCCUAGAGCACCUGUGGGCCUUCCCGACAGACGCAAACCACCUCGCGGGCACUUCCCUGGUUCACUAUUUAUAUACCUGUCAAUAGCAAAGGCUAAUUCAAACAGAAAAUCAGAUUCCUUGAAAGAAAUGGUCUGCCCGAGACCAGCAGACUCAGGCUCCCCGUACCCAACAAGCCCACAUAUCUGGUAUCCUACAUAGGUGAGCGUUCAUCCUGUUUUAAAGAUCUCUGGGGAAAGGUACUCUCAUAGUUCCAGAAACAUCCUGACUCCUAGCAAGAAGUGCUGAUGUGCAUCUGGCCUAAACCACUCCUGCUUAGAGCUGGGGCUCCCUUCAGAGUGCUCGGUGCCCAGCAGGGCUGGAAAACAUCUGGGUCUCUGCUCUGGAGACUCGGUGUUCGGAGGGAAAAUGAAGAUAUUUUUAUUAUCAGUCUUAGGAUCUGUUACUCAAAUGAGAUCGUCCUGCUAUAAACAUGUCCAGAUCUUAAAGAUUUGGCUCAGCAAUGGGGCCAGGACAGCCCCAACUCCUGCUCCCCAAGAAGGCUGUCUCCCCAGUCAGUGCCCCUCAGGGCAGACUGAAGACACCCGGUGCCUUCAGCAACCAUCACCACUGUCCAAGGCACCAUCUUCUUUGGGAAGGUAUCUAAUCUGGUCAAUCACAAAUUCUUUUUUCAGUAUUUCCUAGAGAAAAACAAGUCCCCAAGGAAAAAAAUCACUCUAUGUAGAGAAAGAAUAUUUCUCUCAUGUUCUUACACCCAAAGCAUUUAAUGUUCCACAAUAAAUAGAUAUUGCUUCCCCCCCAAAAAAAAAUUCUGCUCAGUCUCCAGCCCAACCCCAUUUCUUAGCAAGUUAUAAGAAAGCCAACUUCGAAAGCUCUGACAUGGAAAAGGGUGUCUAAAAAGAAAAUCUGAAGCACAGAAUUCCUGACUCCUCAGCCCCAUCAUUCUCCGCAUACAUCAUACACCCACAGGAUGUAGAAGAGAGUGGGCAUGAUAAACAAGAGUGUUCUGGGACACUAGGCGGCCCUCCCCCUCCCUCCCCAAGAAUUAGCAACCUAGGCACCCCCCCAACCCUCACUCCCACCACCCCACAGUACUGGAAGGGAGGCCCUGCUCAGGCCCUUUCAGCACAAGAACUAGGAGCUAUCUGCAGAGGCCUUGUAAUCUGCCCCCACUUCUGUUGCAGACCAAAGUGGUGAAUACCCCACUGACAUCUAACAUCUCAGGGUGGUAGCAUUCUCCAGACAUACGGACGCUGCAGGCAGAGGGCUGGCGAGCCAGCCUGACCGGGAUCCCAAGGCAGAAGCAAUCCCCAGAGCUCCCACUGACUAAAAACAUGCACUCACUUGUGAAAGAUGGAAAGUGAUGUCCUGAGACUCUCUGACCUGCCUGAAAACUGAUUUAAAAACAAAACCUAAAACCAGUCUGGUGGUAAAAGUCAGUCCUUAUCCGACAGGCCCUGGGGCAAGGUCCACAAUUCUCCCAGCCAGACAGAAUAAGAAAUCGUGCAUUUCCUGUGGGACUUUGCUCUGCCCUUCCCCUCCCAAAUUUCCUCUGCCUCCUGCCCACAAUGUCCUCACCUCUUUCAUGAGCACCACCACUCCAGGACCUCCAUGCCAACCCAAGAUGCUUCACAGCCACUGCAUCUGGUUUGCACCAGGUGAGAUGAGGACCCAGCCUCCUCAUGUUAGAUUUCCCUUCUUUUAGCGGCCAGGCAGUCAGCCACAAGAUACAUGAUGAGAGUUGCCUGUCUGCUAAUUCUACAGGGCACCACGCUGCUGGAAGCCUGUCCUCAGGGAGCCUCUCAGUGUGAGGGUGGGCUGGAUGACAGUUCCUGAGAAGAGCAGAAAGACAAUUUGAAUGCCACCUGAAUGUGAAUUCCAUGUUUGUUUGUCCAUCCAGAAAAUGUUAACUGACAGCCUGAUAUGUUAGGUCCUAUGCUAGGUACUGAUGAUAUAAAGAUAAAUAAGACGUAAUUCCUACCCUUGAGGAGAUUCCUUGCAGAGGGAAGCGCACUUGAGAGGGAAGAUAAUUGCAAGAUGAGAAAGUGAGCGCCUUACGGGGCCGUGCAGACUACUUUGGAACCUUUAGGAGCAGCAGUUCAUCCAGCAGGUCAUUCCUGAAGGGGAACAUCAAUGAUUGUGAGGAAUUAGUCAAGCAGUUCCUCACAACCAAGGGCUGUAUAGUGUUAGCUGGUGGAGAUGAGGCAUGGCCUCCCUGGGGAGGACAAGCCCCUCAGGAUGGCUGGAGCAGAGAGCAUUGGGUGAAAAGCUGGCAGGAAGAGACAGGUGGGGAACAGAAACCACGGGUCCCUGGGGAGGACAAGCCCCUCAGGAUGGCUGGAGCAGAGAGCGUUGGGUGAAAAGCUGGCAGGAAGAGACAGGUGGGGAACAGAAACCACAGGUCCCACAUGCUGGGUGCCUGCAACAAGCGGGGCACCCUGCUAGAGAGAAAAAUGGCAAAAGCAAGAAUAAAGGUGCAAAAGCGCUCAUUUUAUCCUUGCUACACUCGUGAAGCAGGUGUGGUGCCCCCAUUAUAUACAAAAAACACGGAAGCUUAUAUAGGUUAAGUAACUUACUCAAAGUCACACAGCAAAAACAAAUUACAGCCAUCAAAGCUCACUGUAUCAGUCCUGUGCUAGAAAAUACAGUCACUUGGACUUCCCAAAGAACUCCGAAGUGGGCAUUAUCCUAGGCUUACAGUUGAGGAAAAGGAGCAUCUGCCAGGAUCUGAACCUGGGCCUAACUGAGCCCCUCUCUCCAAGUGCAAGCCCUUUACCUUGUGACAUGAAGGGCCUUGGAUGCCCCACUAAGGAGUUUGGACUCUCACUAAGGAUAAGGCCAUGGGGUUACCUUGAAGAAUCUCAAAUGGGAGGAGGGACAGACAUGACCCAAUCUGCAUUUGUAGAAGCUCAUCCAGGCAGCUCUGUGGAGAAGGACUGGAGGAAUCCACACACCCAGGCAGGGAUUGUUGAGUGGCCAUUGUGUUAACCCCCGCAAGUGUUGGCAGGGUCUGGAGUGGGUGGGAGCAGUGAAGAUGAAGAGAAGGGUGACCUCCACAGAGAGUGAGAAGGUGGGUCAACAGGAUGAUGACACAAAAAUGGGAUGUGGGCCUCAAGGAGAAGGAACCGCCCAGGACGAGAAGGAGCAGCUAAGAAAGUACCCAGCUAAACUGAGGUGGGGCUGGGGCUCCUGUGAUGAUAGAUUUGGCCAACUGAGUGGUUACAGACAAUAUUUAUCAAAUAGAGAAUAAAGGAGCAGAAUGAAAGAGAGGCUCUGGGGGUGAGAGAAAGAACUUUGCUGUGGGAGUGGCCAAGAGGAGAUGCCCAGGUGACAGGUGGCUGUGCAGACUUGGUUCUUAGGAAACAGGAUCCCACUGGGGAGAUGAUAGCAAUACAGGGGUCGUUGAAUCUUUGAAGACAAUCAGUUCACCCAAAGACAAAGUAUUGAUUGGAAAUUGGAAAGAGAACAAGACUCUGGACAAUCCCAAUCUUUAAGUGAGGUGGGCAGAGGUGGAGGUUCUUAGGAAGGAGACUGAAGAAGACCUAGAAAGGCAGAGGAGAACCAGAGGCAGCACCAUCAGGGAAGCAGAGACAGGAGAGCCUGCGGGGUGAUACCCAUGGAGAAGCCUGGAGGUCCGUGAGGCCUGAGAAGCCAUGUCCAUUGGGCUUUAUGAUCCAAAGGUCAGCAGGGACUUCAGCCCAAGGGGUUGCAUGGAAUGUUCUUGGGGGAUUGGGGGCUGCGAAAGUCAGAUUGUGAGGGUUGAGAAGUGAGGGAGGGGGACACAAAGUCAGUGAGUGCCUGCAGGUGAUACUUCAUGCACUUUCUACUGUACACAGAAGUGGUGAUGAGGCCACAGUGUUCAUAGGGACAAAGGGCUGAGAGGGGGUCUUGUUAUAAUUCCAUUGAAAGAGUCUGGGGCAUGUUUGAAUGCCUGUAGGAAAGAACUGGAGGCUGCUGGGUGGGAGGAGGUGGUGGAGGAGAUUUAAAAUGUGAGAACUGGUUGGUUUGGGCACCACUGGUAGAAUGCCCCUCAUAUUGGAUGUUCAUCCUUCCCAGUGAUUCCUCAAGACGUGACCUCUGGAACACAGCCCUGGCUGCCAGGCGUUUUAGCCUGGCCCAAGCUCCAUGGCCUCUCUAGCACCCUGGGUGGUAAAGACAUGGAGCUUUGGGCUUCCCAUUUAUCUCCCUCUCUCCACCACAGCCAAGCAGCUAAGUGUCCUGAGCCUAUCCACACAUUUGGCAUGUGGGGACUGAGAUGCUCCAACCCUUCUAUCCCCUUGAGCCAGCCUAAUAAUUACAGCCCUCAGAGCUCAUUGUAUCAGGCCCUAUGCUAGAAAAUACAGUCACUUCGACUUCUCAAUGAACUUCAAAAUGGGCAUUAUCCUAGCCUUACAGUUGAGGAAAAGGAGGCUCAGAGAAGUUAAGUAACUCAUCCCGAUGUCAUGCAGUUUGCAAGUGGCAGAGCCUGGAUUCAAAGUGAAGCCUUUCUUAUACCAAAGCCAAGCAUCUUUACCCACUCCUGUCCUGCCUCCAGUGAAAGGAUGCUGGCAAAUUCAUGUUUCAUUUAUUCAUCCAUCAAUUUAUUAAUUUAUCAAACACUCAAGCAUUAACUAUACUCCACAUAUGACUUGGAAAUUUAGAAAGAUCAAGUUUAGCACAGCAAGGAAAAGGAGGAGGACAGCCAGAAUGUCUAGCAAACAGAGGCCCUGGGAAGCAGUUUCACAGGACAAUCUGGGGAUCAACUCCUGUAGCCAGAAUGAACACCAUACACCUUUCUGAUCACCUUUCCUUGUUCUCUUUUAUAGAAACACAAAGAGGAAAAGACAGAGAGAGGGAAUGAGACAGUACCUUCCAAGCUCGACAUUGGCUGCAACCUGAUGGGGCGAUCUGACUCAAGAAACAGUAGGAUGGGCUUUGAUGCCUCACCCAUGCACACUUUAGAAGCCUUCGGGAUCUUUUCAAAGCACUGCCCUAACCUGUCCCCCAAGAGCUUCAUGACUUCUGUUGCUGGGAAAAAGGUUCAGACAGGCCAAGUCUCAGGAGACCCACUCUUCCCUCAUUCAGCAUUGCCCUACCCUCACCCGCCCCCCACCUUACCUGUAAGCAGGGAACGUUGCCAGCAUUUUUUCACUGGAGGCAGGACCACGUAAGCAGGGAAAGCCCCUCUACAGGGAAAAGAAGGCCAUCCUUGGUAAGCGCGCCAUCCCAGCUGAGUUGAUUCCACCAGAGAUGGGUGGCAGCCUCCAGUAUAGUUGUGUCUCGGCAGCCCAGCAUGGAAGCAGGUACUUACAUGGGCCAUGGUGACCAACUGGGCUCAUUAAAUUCUCUCAAUAAAUGUGAAUGUGAGAGAAAAGGCAGAUGCUAGUGUGACUAGAGGCUAAAAGCCACACAGAGCAGAGCCACAAACAAGCAGAAGCCGGGGUGAGCAGAUGUCCCACACUGGUGGAGGAAGCCCAGGGGUUGGGGGUCUCAGGGCCAAGUGGGGUGUCUGAGGGGGCAUUGUGCUGGGAAGAUGGUAAGGUAACCAGAUCCCUGGAGCACUCAAGACCCAGAGACCUUGUCCAGGCUCUGGAAACGAGUCUACCAUCAUUGUUUAUAGAACCCUGAGGACUGGUGACCUCCCAGUUUCCAGAAAUAUCAUUACCAUAAAUCCCAUUGCUGAAGGCAACCCGGGAGGGUCUCUGUGGUCCUCAGGGAGUCUGACUGACACUUAGGCUCUAAGCAUCUGGGGUUUGCAGAGAGAGCUGGGGAGAGCUGGGAGCAGAGAGAGCCACGAUGCUGCCACUCUUGACUGUUUUCACUCCACCCUGCUCUUCUCAUUCCUGCCACAGUGACAGACUGCACCAGCCCAGAAGGAAGCCUUGGGUCAAGGAUGUGGGUUCAGUCCAAUCUCUUAAAGUGCAAACAUUGAGACAGUCACCUCCAUCACUACCACUUGCUGUUCAGUGAAGAAACCACCACACCUUCUGCUCCUCUGAGCCCUGCCUCACUUGGUUCCAGGCCCCUAGAGCUUAAGACAUGGGUCACCAUCUCUUCGUUUUCAACCCUCAGUUUCUGCCCAGGGUGGCCUGAUGGAAAGCCCCACUGUCAGAGUAGGAGUCGUCCCAUUAUGCCUGUCUUUUGCAGGAGCAGGUUUGAAUUGUCAUCUUUAAAAAUUCCAAAAUAUUUAUUUUACAAAGCAGGCCCUGUGUUCUGAAGUUUUAUCUCAAAAACAAGGUCUCUGUGCAAAUCAGAUACAGCAAACAUCUCCUCCUGGCUGAUGGGAAUGCCUGCUGCAUUUUUCCCAGCCACAUCUUCAGUCUUACUUAAUUUUUUUCUUGUCUUCCAGGUAAGAAUCAUUAAGAUACACGCUUACAGUAGUGCGCCUGCUUAUCCACGAUAUCUAGCCAAGAGAAGGCCCAGCUUCCUAAACCCUACUGGGACUCACCAGCCACCAGCUCACAUCUAUAGUAAGCUCUUUCAAAGGCCUUCUUUACUGCUGGACAUUCUUCCUUUGUGCAACAAGUCAAUAAACCCAACUUGGUUCAGCCACAGGUGAGUUCUUGAUGGUUUUUAACUUAGGAGGAUUGGCAGAAAUAGAGGUUCACUGAGUCAGUCAAAGCCCUUCCUCCUUGGACAAGAGCCCCCACUUUAGUUAUGGCAGACACAGCUGAGACACACAGGGCAUCUCUCUGAUUCACCAGGUGGCCCACAGAUGGGAGGCAGCUCAUAGUCUGAAUGGAGUCUGACAUUGAGGCCCCUCUGCUUCAGGUUUGCUCUGUUCUAGGAAUGAGGUGCUGUGCGACUUUUCCUGGUGAUCCGAUCAGCUUAAGGACAGACUUCCCAGGUCCCUGUUGACUGUGCAUUUUUCCACUUAGAGGCAACACUUAUGGCAUUCAACAGCAGAUGGGCAUAGGAGCGUUGCUCGAAAGGCUAGACAGCAGUUUCACCAAGGAGUGGUGCAAAUCUGAUCGGAUCACCGGACUUAAACCAAGAUUGGCAGAGCUUGGCACACUGCAGCAUCCCAUCGUUCUCCACAGCAGGCGCAGGGAGGGUUCAUCCUUCAGGUCACUACAGCAUGUUACAGUGUUCUGCAUCAGUGCCCUUCCUCUUAGGAAGAAACAUCUCUGGGCUGAAUGGCUAGCUCCCCUCCUUCAGCUACAUAGAAUUUCCCUUUGGGCAUUUUUUAUCGCAUUUUAGGUUUUGGGGUACAUGUGAAGAACAUGCAAGAUUGUUGCAUAGGUACACACGUGGCAGUGUAAUUUGCUGCCUUCCUCCCCUUCACCUAUAUCUGGCGUUUCUCCCCAUGCUAUCUCUCCCCAACUCCCCACCCCCCGCUGUCCAGUGUUGACUAUAUUUCUUAGGUGUGAGGCUAUCUCAGUUACGGAGAUAAAUUAGGAAAAUAUCAACUCUCCUGUGUAUGUGUGCAGAGUUCUCCAUGCAAAAUAAAGUGUGAGAAGCAGCAAAUGCUAUUAGCAGGAAGGCAAGCCAAAACUGCUAUGCCCUUUUAAAUGUCCUCAAGUCAUCCUCAGACCCACCCAUGUAAUUAUCUCCUAAGUUCACCCUCAAAAAUGAGAUUCUAAAUUUCAGGGUCUGUUUACAGCCAGGUGAUCAUGUUACUUCCCUGCUCAAUAAGCCUCAGUGACUCUGUAUGCCUUCAAAAUAAAGUUACAAAUCCCUAACCCAUCCAGGGCUGCUUGUCAUCUGGUUCAAAUCUACUUACAGUAGAAUUGCCCACUGUUUCCUUUCCAGGCACUCAGCCUCCCUUCAGCUGAUCAGAUUUCCUAGAAAUUACUGCUCCUCCUUCUAAACCCCACAAACAAAAGUUCCAGGAAAAGGCAUUUGGAGGAAAGAGAUUUUAUUCCAGUGGACAGUUUGCACACCUGGGAAACCCAGCCUUUAGUGUAAAACGUAGGUGUGUUCAGAGAACAGCAAGAGGAGUUGGGUUUGUUUAUUUAUUUGUCUGUCUGUUUGUUGUGAGAUGGAGUUUCGCUCUUGUUAUGCAGGCUGGUGCAAUGACGCAAUCUGGGCUCACCGCAACAAUCUGGGCUCACUGUGUUCAAGUGAUUCUCUGGCCUCAGCCUCCCGAGUAGCUGGGAUUACAGGCAUGCACCACCACAGCUAGCUAAUUUUUAUUUUUAAUAGAGACAGGGUUUCUCCAUGUUGAUCGGGCUGGUCUCCAACUCCCCGCCUCAGAUGAUCCAUCCACCUCGGUCUCCCAAAGUGCUGGGAUUACAGGCAUUAGCAGGAGUCAGGUUUUAUAGCAAACUUUCCUUCCCAGGUUUUCCAUGAAGUCUAUUUGUGCAAAUGAAAGAUUGAAACUUGCUUAGUUCUGACUGGCUGAUACAGUUGAGCCCUGAUUGUCCAGGGCAGAUGAAAGCUGAUUGGUCAGUAUCCAAGCUCCAAACUAGAAGUCUGUCAGAUGUUUCUUUUAGGGGAAGAGGCUGCAGAUACCACGGUAUUGAUCCUUUCCCUUAAAGGCAGGGAUUUAUUUUUGUUAGCCCCAUCUAGCAGACAGCCUGGCAUAUGAUAGAUCUUAAUAAAUAUUGAGUAAAUGAAUGCAUGUGUACUUGGAAAAAUUAAAUUUACCCUCCCCCAUUCCAUGCCUGAAAAUACUGCUGAGGAGAAAACAAGUAAUGUCUUGAGAUUUUCUCAACAGAAUAUAAACAUAAAGCUUAAAUUAAACAGCAAGUUGAAGUGUGACACUGCUCUAUUUUCAGGUUUUUCAGCACAUUAGGAGUUGAGGUGAAGGUACUGACUGUCUUUGUGGUUUGUGUACAAUUUUUUUUUUUUACUGGGAUUCAUAACUGGGGAAACAAAAGCAUCUCUUUACCUGUAUAACUUUGUUCCUUCCUUUAUUGCUUUAAAUAGGCAAGAUGUGGUUUGUUUUUCUUUCACUGCUAAUGUUUGCUUGUGCUCCUCAACAAAAAUAACUUGCCAUUCUUAUUGCUCUCAAAGGUUGCUAAAGGUCCCCUCCCCACUUACUCAUUCCACUCACUUGUAACCAAGAUCCUCAGUGCUGCUAACGGAGACUCCCUCAGCCCUAUAUCUUCUGUGCCUAGAGCAGUAGAUGGCAGGUCCAGUCAUGUUAAACAUUAGGUAAUAUCAGUAUCCUUUCACUUUACUAUGAGAAUCCUCAAGACAGAAUCAUUAUCCUCUGCUUAUGCUUGCUGUAGACAAGAAUGUGCACCAGCCCUCCCAGGAGUAUAAAGAUCAUCACCACCACCAUUGUAAGAUGACAGCUUUUCACAGUUUACUUAUCUUCAUCCUGGUUAUUCUCCCUCUUAGUCAUUGGGAGUCUUGUGGCCAGGUGCAGUGGUUCAUGCCUGUAAUUCUAGUGCUUUGAGAGGCUGAGGCAGGAGGAUUGCUUGAGAGGAGUUGGAGGCUACAGUGAGCUACGAUCUCACCACCACUGCACUCCAGCCUGGGUGACAGAGCAAAGGCCAGUCUCUGAAAUGAAUCAUUGUAAAAGAGUCCUGCAAGAUGGGUAUGAAUCUUUCUAGAGCACAGCUGAAAAGUUAAAUGGUUUGUCCCAGAGUACACAACUCAGCAGAGCCUAGAGUAAAAUUUAAAUCCAGUGCUUUUCCAUCUAGGCUGCAGUGAACCAUCACUAGAGUUUUAUCAAAGUCCAACUUCCUGGCAAUAGGGAGAAAAAGCAAUUAUAGCUUUUCUUGAUAUUUAACCUAGCUAACAGCUUCAGCUCAGAGAAAAUCUUCCAAAAGUCCAAGACAGGUCUGGAUGUGUAUACUGUCACCCAUCAACCAUAAACUUUGAUCCAGUUAUGAUUUGGGUAUUUGUCUCCACCCUCCCAGAUGCCUCUGAUCCCACCGUAACCAAACCCCAAAUCCUAGGGCCUUUCUUCUCCCAAUUUCACAGUUUCUAUACAUAUUUUCUAGGCACUUCCACCACUCACCACCCUCCAAAAGGGACUGGGCCCUGAGCUUUUCCACUGAUUAAUGCUUUCUAUGUAAUACACCUGCAGUUAUGCUACAGCAUCUCUGGGCAAAGGAAUAGCCAGGUCUGUCUAACACAUACUUGGGUGUGACUCUAACUGGCCUCUACCACUUUUAGCCUAAAGUGACAGUGCUUUUUAAUGUUGGUUGCAGGCAGGGAACUGCUGCCCUCUCCCAAGCACUUCAGUUUCCUUGCACGGCCUCUCCUUGGCUUCUGUCUGUCCCUGCUAGAGAAUCCUUCCCAACAAUAAGAGAAGGCAGAAAAGAGGGGUCCUGAUGGAAAAAGUAAAGAGCUUUCAUUGGAGGAAGGUGAGUCAGGGCUGGAGAGACAGUAAAAUGACAGCAAUCACAUCCCACUCCUUCUUUUGAGCUAUUGAUUCAUUUUUAAAAACUGCCUGCUAUUGCCACAUGUAGCUAUAAUAAUGCUACAGUGGACACUAUCACCUCUAGUUUAACAAUGAGUAGCCAGUCAAAGUUAUUUCUGUAAACCAGUAAGAAUUCUUGACAAACAACCCUGUCCCAGCCCACUCUCUGUCCCCUUCUUUUGCCUUUAAAACCCUUCUUGUGGGGUAUAUCUACCACAUUGUCUUUAUCCAAUCUGUCGUUUAAGGGCAUUUGGUUGAUUCCAUGUCUUUGCUGUUGUGAAUAGUGACGCAAUGAACAUUCACAGCAUAAAAAGGAAUGAGAGCAUGUCUUUGCAGGAACAUGGAUGGAGCUGGAGGCUUAGCAAACCAACACAAGAACAGAAAACCAAAUACCAUGCAUUCUUGCUUAUAAGUGGGCGCUAAAUGAUGAGAAAAUGUGGACACAAAGAGGGGAACAACGCACACUGGGGCCUAUGAGAGGAUGGAGGCUGGGAGGAAGGAGAGGAGAAAAGAGAAACUUUUGGGUACUAGGCUUAGUACCUGGGUCAUGAAAUCAUCUUUACAAUAAACCCUGGUGACAUGAGUUUAUAUGUAUAACCUAUACAUGUACUCCUGAACCUAAAUACAAAUGGUUUUGUUUUGUUUUUGUUGUUGUUCUAUUUUUUUUAAAAAAACUUCUUGUCGCAAAGGCUGUAGGAAGCUCAGAGCCAAGGGCCCCUGGGUCUGAGUCUUCCAGGCAGCUGUCCUCACUUUGGUUUAAGUAAACUCUUUAAAUUACACUUUGUGUCUCAGCCUCUUGCUUUAAGGUUGACACUGUGCAGAUUAAAUAAAUGAAUGGCCCCUGUUUCUUCUCUGUCUGAAGCUUGGGCUCCUCAUGAGAGGACUUCCUACUCCAAGAUAGAAGGGAGUCUUGCUCAGAAGAAGGAGUUCCUGUCUGCUGAAGACACAAUUCUGUCCAAUGAGGUCAGGAGGGCUGUUGGGAACUUCCGUUAAUCCCACUGGGGCAGGAAAGUGGCAAAUGGCAGUUAUCUGAGCUGAGGAUGCUGGGAAGGGUUUUUACAUGGGCAGUUGGGCCUUACAUCAUCAACUGACCCAACUUAAGUGCCCAAGGAAAUGGAACAGCAGGGAGAGGAUCAUCACACACACCACCAAAACCCCCAUUAGUCUCUGGCUUCAACAUCCUUUUCCAAAACCUCAGGCCAGCGCAUAGCCUCACUUUUCCAUCUCUUCUCCAUUGCUCCAUAGGAGAGCCUCCUUGGUACAGGAAUAGCUGAGAUGUGGGAAAGAUCAAGGGUUGUAAAAGCUGCCACAGAUAAUCUACAGAAAGCUUUGCUGGAAUUAGAUUGUGCAUCUCUGAACCUGAGCUAGAUUUGUUGGGUCAGGGACGAUACUUGCUGACUGGUCCCAGAAUUGACAGAGGCGGUGUCUAAGAAAUGCUUGUUGGAUGAAUAAACAAACAGCUGAGUGAGUGUUUAUGUGCGCCUGACAACUGCCUGUACCAGCACAAAAGUAAAAACCCAACACCCUCAGGCCACACCUACUGGAAAAGUACAAAAUCAUAGGAUUUUGUUCAAUUCUUGUCCUGUACGUUAAAGAACUGGGGCAGGAGAAUGCGAGUAGGAGGAUGAGAAAUAUGUUCUUUAGGCUGCUGCUCUGCAAGGUGGUUUGGAACUGGACCAUAGCCUGAGGAAGCCCUUUAAGCUCCGGAAUCACAAAAGGGCGGAAGCCGUUUCUAUAGCGACGGGAGAGGGCGUGGCCGUGUCGCGCGCUCUGCCGGGCGCUCCCAGCCUCCCACAGAGGUUGGCGGUCAGCGCCGGCCUCUGGCAGCUCCUCUCACCAUCUACCCGCACCAGAAUAAAAGGACCGCGGAGGCUCUUAAUUCGCGAGCAUUCCGGCAAGACUACGAGCCAGCUAGGGUCCGCUACGCUCUUCUAGGACUCAAAUGGAUGCUAAAAAGCCAAGGACAUGUGAUUUGACUUCAUCCAUGGUUUUGAAAGAAAAGUUAAAGUAUGCUAAUAAUCUUGCUCUAUCACCAGGCUGGAGUGCAAUGGUGUGAUCUCGGCUCACUACAAUCUCCACCUCCUGGGUUCAAGCAAUUCUUCCUGCCAAAGCCUCCCAAGUAGCUGGGACUAAAGCUUGAAGGUAAACUUUUGUUUCAAGUCCAGAAGCUGCCUUCCAAUAUCAAGCACUCCAGAAUGACCCAAGACCUUCAUAAGAACACCAGGGUUACUUCACUCCCCAUUGUGGACACUAAGGGGAAGAAGAAUAUGGUAAGCUUCCCACACAUUAGCAGCCAAGUCCUGCUGAAGUCAUCCCUGCUGUAUCAGGCUGUUGGAGAAACAGCAGUGAGAGAAGCAUUUCCAGAAGCCAUUAUCAUAAAGCCAUAGGACAUCUUUGGAAGAGAGGAAACAUUCCUUAAUCAUUUUUCAAGUCUCAGAUGUAUCCAAAGGAAUUAUUAAUGCAGUUAAGGACCCUGAUGCCAGAGGGAAGACCUUUACUUCUGUUGGUGCAAAAAGCUCUGAUUUCCAUGUCAACUAGGAGCUGCAAAAUGUAUGUCUUCCUUUCAGUUCCCAGUUUGGCACAUUAGCAUGCAAUCAGUUAUAUAGUCUAGGCCAAAUCAGUACCUCCUCUUUGAGCUGGUGAAGUACAUCUAUGCUGUGACUCACAGAUUAUUCCUUCCAUACCCCAUAUCACGUUUUGCCUAUUGCUAUCUAUAAAGUAAGGAGAGUAUAUGGAGUGAGUAGAAGAGGAGGCCACAGAGUAAGAAACUUACAAGAAAGCUGAAAAAAAGUGAUCAGACAUUUAGGUGGGAAAUGAGAGUUUGAAAUUCUAGGUACCAAAGGGAAGUGAGUGCUUUGAGGAGGAAUCGAUGUUUUAAGAAGGGAAACAUUGCCAUUCAUUCACAUGUAUCUCAAGCCCCUGGAACAAUGCCUGGUACACAGUAGGCACUCUGUUAAUAUUGGUAGAAUGAAGUCUUGAAGAAAUCAAAUAAGAUAAAGGACCCAAAAAUGUCUACAAAUGACCAUUUGUGACCAUGGCUUCAGAGCCGUGAAAGGGAUGUAAGCCAGAUUGCAAUGAGGUGCUUUCAUGGUUGAACAUACAACUGAGUUAGAGUUGGCAUAUGUAUGCCCAUGACUUGGCCUCCCGAGGACACUAGAAUAGAGACCUGAAGUGAUCUGUUAGCACAGAAUGAUGGCACAGAGAGUUAUAGAUUUGUAAGGAGAGUUUUGUUUUUUUUUUUGAGACGGAGUUUUGCUCAUGUUACCCAGGCUGGAGUGCAAUGGCCUGAUCUCGGCUCACCACAACAUCCACCUCCUGGGUUCAGGCAAUUCUCCUGCCUCAGCCUCCUGAGUAGCUGGGAUUACAGGCACACGCCACCAUACCCAGCUAAUUUUUUGUAUUUUUAGUAGAGACGGGGUUUCACCAUGUUGACCAGGAUGGUCUUGAUCUGUUGACCUCGUGAUCCACCCGCCUUGGCCUCCCAAAGUGCUGGGAUUACAGGCGUGAGCCACCAUGCCUGGCCAAGAGUGUUUUUAUUAAGCUAUGUUAGCCUAGUAAAUUUUCUUUUUCUGCCAUUGAGGAAUCUGAAGCUUACAUGUUGCUGGAGAAAUUCUAGCCAGCUUCUUUAUUCAUUUAUUUAUACUAUGCAUUAGAAUGGUUUUCUAGCUUUUUAAAUAGCUGUGGAACCUUGUGUUCACUGAGUUUUUACAUCAAGGCCUGCUGGGUAAAUCCAGUAAAAGAACUGGUCUAGUUGCAGUGAUGGCUGAUACUCAGCACAUAUACUCUCAAACUCUUGGCCCCCAGGAUUCCAUGGGGCACCAGAAAAUUCCCAGCAUCCCUCAGAUGCUAGUUUAAAACUACUACUGGCAAAGUGGUGCACACCUGUAGUCCCAGCUACUUGGGAGGCUGAGGUGGGAGGAUUACUUGAAUUCAGGAGUUUGAAUCCAGCCUGGACAACAUAGUGAGACCCUGUCUAUGGAAUAAAAAAAAAGGAAAGAAAAGAAAAACCCACUGGCCUGAGGUAACUGAUGAUGGAAGCUCACGUAGACUUUAAGAAGCCCUUCAGUUUUCAUUAGCAGUGAAGAGAUGGCAGUCAUCAAGAUAGGUGGCCUUUCUUGUCCUGGGUUUAUAUUGUCAUCCUGAUUUAAACCAUAGAUUUUAGGUUUUUCCUUGCUUUUGGAUUUUUUUUUUCCUCAAGGGCCCCAGCUUUUAGGGAUUAUAUUUUGUAUUUUACACACCAUUUAGCUUGCCCUGUGUCUGUAAAGGCAGCAUAUUUGAAUAUCUGAGGUUUAGAUUAGAUUGCAUUUCACAGAUUGGUUGAAUAUUGGAGUUUCUCUGUUUUGCUGUUUCUUGGUUUCAUUUCAUUUUAAGUUUAAGAUCUGCUGUUUCUUUGGAGGAGAACAAGGUGUGCUAACAGUUACAGCAGCCAGCUAGGUUGGCUUGAGAGGAGAAGGACUGAAAAGCAGAGGUAGUCUCCGAGGUCAAGGUGCCAGGAUGUUGGUUAUUUUCUUAAAAACCAACCCACCAAAAGAAAACCACCAUUCAGACUGUUCUACAGCAGUCUGUCUUUUUGUGGUUCUUACAGGCUAGCUUAAAUUUUGGGUAGAGAGAUGCUUAUCACAUUGCCAUAUAUCCAUUUCUUUUCCAGAUGGAUAGUAAGAAUAUUUGAAGUAAGUCCAUUUGAACCAUGGACAACAAGGGAUAAAGUGGAGCAAGCAAGUGUAUGUGUGGAAAGCAUCCACCUGGGCAGACAAGAAGUUAGACUGAUUUUGGUUUGCCUGCUUGUUUCCCUGCUCUUGUCUGUUUGCCGUUCUUGCUGUUUGUGGUCAACCCCUCUGCUAGCACUGAAACUCAUCCAGCUGCCCUACUCCAGGGGGCGGCUCCUCCACACCUGCCCAUCAUUAACAAUGUUUCUUUCUCUGCUGGAUCAUUCCCAUCAACACGCAAAAAUGCCUAAUAUCUCCUCUGCCAAAGCCUCUGUUCCUCCCAUCACCCUUCUAGCUACUUUGCUGUUGUGUCCCUUCACAUCCCAACACCUCCUCACAUCCUGAUGAAACUGUUGCCAGUUUUCUCAUCCUUUCCUUAACCUAUUUCAGUCAGACUUUUAUUCCCAUUUGUCUCCUAAACCUCUUUUCAAGGCACCCAGUGUCCGUGCUGCCACACCCAGUAGUCAGUUCUCAGACCUCAUCUCAUGUUCCUGUGCAUUUGCUGCUAGGGAAGAUGCAAAAUAAAGUGGUAAUACUAUACCAAAUACUAUACCAUAUCUACCUUUGAAGACCUAUGGACCAUAUAUUGACAAGCAGCAGCCAGAUUGUUCCCUGAAUGCUACCUAAAAGCUAAAGUGUAGAGAAUAUGAGAAACAGUGCUUAGGGAACAUGUGGAAGUCAGCAGCUCUCAUACUUUCUUCAGACCGGCUGUGUCUGGAGAGCUGAGGCCAUUUCUGUGAUGUCCCUUCUGUGGUUUUGGAAGAUCAGGCAGGAUAACUGGUGGUCAGCCACUUCAGUUUAUCUCACUCUAAAGUGUCUCUUACAUUAAUAAUGGAGAACAUGCUGAUACAGUGGGAAGCGUGGGUUUUGAAUUUGGUUUGCAAACUGGCUUAUAGAACUUUGCUAAUGUGCCACAUUUUCCCAAUCCAGUCUAUCAUCGAUGGGCAUUUGGGUUGGUUCCAGGUCUUUGCUAAUGUAAACAGUGCUGCAAUGAACAUUGGUGUGCAUGUGUCCUUAUAGUAGAACGAGUUACAGUCCUUUGGAUAUAUACCCAGUAAUGGGAUUGCUGGGUCAAUUGGAAUUUCUAUUUCUAAGGCCUUGAGGAAUUGAAAAAAAGAAAAAAGAAAAAAAAAAAGAACUCUGGUAAAAGAAUUGCUGACUUUCAGGUGGGUAGGAUGAGGGAUUGAUGCUGCUGUAUGUGCAGAUGGAUUCCAUUAUGUGCUUUUGAAUAAUCCGAGAUCUCUGCAAAUUUUACAGUUCAUUGUCUUUUCCUAAAAACAAGAUGGGUUUAGUUUUCUAGCUCUACAGUGAACAUUAGUCAACCCAGGUUGAGUAUAGCUAGAGCAAAAAGAGGUAAUUGGGGUUUUUUUUUAAUGGGUGAGGAACAAAUGCUGUGUUAUCUCCUAAAUUCAAAGUUAAAAUUGAGUUAGAAAAUAGGGACCUGAGAGAACUGAGGAAUGGACUAGCUCUGCUUUAGCCCUGAUUUUAUUCCUAAACCCUCCUGUUAAGCCUCCUCUGGCAAGUGUGAUGACUUGUGCUUCCCUGCCAUAGAUUUAUUUCUGUGGAAAUCUGUAUAUAGAAUGGCUCAUGUAGUGCCAACAUCCUGUGCUCGUGGCUAUGACUGGGAACCUCGAUCUGAUACUUGGUGAUCUUGCCCUUUUUUUGUCUUAAGCCCUCAUUCUUUGUCCUGCUUUUAUAGUGAUUUGCAUGAAUCGAAAAUUGCCACAUAUUCUUUGAAAGUAAUUAAGUCUCAAUAAUAGGACUUAUGCCAGCUUGAAUGUUUAAAUGCAUGCUGGGGUUUGAAUCUCUACAUUCUCUAUACUUAAUUUUAAGUCUUUAAGAGCUUGAAGACCUUAUUCUAACCUUAUUAGUUUGUACCUCCUGUUUGUUUAACAAAAUACGUUAGCAUGGGUAAUCUGUAAAUAGCAGAGGUAUAUUUCUCACAGCUCUGGAGGCUGGAAAGUUCAAGAUCAAGGCGCCAGUGGGUUUGGUGGUUGGUGAGGGCUGUUCUUUCUGCUUCAAAGAUGGUGCCUUCAGGCUGUGUCCUCAUACGGUGGACAUUGGCAGAAGGGCAAAAAGGGACUAGGGCACUCUCUUCAGCCUCUUUAUAAGAGCACCAGUCCCAUAUAUGAAAGCAAGCCCUCAUAACCUAAUCACCUCCUAAAGACCGCCCCACCUUAAUACUGUUGCAUUGGGGACUAAAUCAGCAUGAAUUUUGGAGGACACAAACAUUCAAACCAUAGCACUGACUAAGGAAACAAUUUGGCCAUCCUAAGCUAGUGGGUAUCACCCUCUCAGUGUAUGGAAAUUGCAUAUAACCAGGAACUAGGAGCUGGGCAUAAGAUCUGGGUCACUCAUAUCCAGGGGGAUUCUCUUCCUAAGGAGGGAUGAGCUGAAUCUCCAUUUAUAGGAGCUGUCCCCAUGGAGACUUGAAGCCAUACACUUCUCAGGAUUCAGGUUGCACAUUACCUGAUUGUCACAGUUGAUUUGAGCCUGCAAGACUGUAAACCCAUCCCGUUAUCAUGUUUUCAUUCCUCAUGCACGUACAUUUAUCAUUAAACCUUUGUGAUUCAGCAAAUCUAUUUACCUUCUGAUUCUAUUUUAAAUUCCUUUCAUGUUCUUCCUUGGCCCUCCUGUGUAUAUCCCUCAGCUUUGCUAGGCCUUAAGAUCAUCUCACACUCUUCAUCAUAAUAAUAAAAAUAAAUUCUGUGAUGGAAGCAUAUAUGGGAAUAUAUGUAAGAUCUCUGAGAAGAUAAAGAACAGUCUCUGAAAGGAUUAGGAAAAACUCCAUAGAAAAUGGAUUUUUAAAGCUACAACUUGAUGUUAACCUGCUGAAAUGUGUGUGGAGGAGGGUUAGGAGGAAGCAAGCAUUCAUGUGAAGAGAACAGCACAAGCAAUUGCAGUGGGUCAUGAGUGAGUGGGCGGUUAUGAGUGGGAGACAGAGCCAGUGAGUUGGGAGGGGCACAGGUGAGUUUAACCUUUACCUUGGAGGCGAUGUAGAGCAGGUGAGUUCCAUACAGAUUUGGCUUUGAAUAUGAGUUCCACUGCUUCUCAGUUAUGAGAUUGGACAAGGCACUUGACUUCUUUUUGUCAGCCUCAUUUUUCUUGUUUAUAAAAUGGAGGUGAUAGUAGUAACUACAUGAUGGGAUUGUAUUGAGAAAUUAAACGAGAUCAUGCAUGUAAACUGCUGGCUGAGCCCUGCGCACCAAAGAACUAAGUAAAUCUGAGCCAUUAUCAUUUAAGUAGGGAGCAUCAUGCCUGACUGAGUCCAUACAUUUGUUUCUUGACUUCAAAUAGCUGCCAUUCCUGAGAGGGAGGGAUUCCUAUUUUCUAAAUGAUGGAAACAGGGACUUACAGAAGGUAAAUUGCCACUUUCCGACCUGGAUCUAUCUGGCUACAAAACUGAUACCUUGUUCCAGGAAGGAUUUAAGGAUGCUCAGGAGGAAGACAUUCCCAGAGUUACACUCCAGAAGAUCAAGGAGUGAAUGGGAGAUGUAGUGGAAUGGAGGGCAUAUUUGAAGAAACCUUUCCUGUGAAGGAAAAUCCAAGACAGAAUGAUGUAAGGAGACACUUUAACUUGAAAAGAUUCUUGUGAGAGAAGGAAAGGGGCUUUUGCAAUAGAGAGAGACUAGAACAAAGUUGGAACCCAACUUCAUGGAAGCAGAGGAUGGUGGGGUUUUCAAGGGCUGAGAUAGUGUAAAAGUACUGGGGACAAGAGGCCAUCUGGAUCCCAUGAUGGCCAGGGUGAGGGGGUUCAUGGGUCAUCUGUCUUUGCUGAUUGGCUUUAUCCAAAGGAAGAGUAAACAUCCUUAGGAAGUAGUCCUGCAGCGUGGAGCAAGAUGCCCACCAAAGUUAGGCACAUCCCACAGAACAUGGAAGAAAGGGGUGCUAUUUCCUUUUGUCAUGACAUUUCAGAGAAUGGUUCCCCUGGGUCCUUGAGAAAGGCAUUCCUGGGUUGUAAGAAGGCUAAGGAGGCCGGGCACAGUGUCUCAAGCCUUUAAUCCCAGUACUUCGGGAGGCCGAGGCAGGUGGAUCACGAGGUCAAGAGAUCAAGACCAUCCUGGUCAACAAGGUGAAAUCCCAUCUUAUUAAAAAUACAAAAAUUAACUGGGCAUGGUGGCGUGUGCCUGUAAUCCCAGCUACUCAGGAGGCUGAGGCAGGAGAAUUGCCUGAACUCAGGAGGCGGAGGUUGCAGUGAGAUGAGAUCGCUCCACUGCACUCCAGCCUGGGUAACAAGAGCGAAACUCCAUCUCAAAAAAAAAAAAAAAAACCAAGAAGGCUAAGGAAAGAUGUAUGUCUCAAAGGGGAACAGAAAUAAUUUGUAAUUUUAAGUUUUCUGAACAAAAUGCUCUGAGGGAAGUUGGGGUCUAAUGUUAGUGAUGUAGUUUGGAAGCCCUCACCCAAAUCUCAUGUUGAAAUGUCAUCUCCAGUGUUGGAGUUGGGGCUUAGUGGGAUGUGAUUGGAUCCUGGGGUAGAUUUCUCAUGAAUGGUUUAGUCCAUCUUCUUGGUACAAUCCUCAAGAUAGUGAGUUCUAGCAAGAUCUCAUCAUUUAAAAGUGUUAGGCACCUCUCCUCACCCCUUGCUCCUACUCCUGCUAUGUGAGAUGCUUGCUCCCCUUUCACCUAUUGCCAUGACUAGAAGCUUCCUGAAGCCUCCCCAGAAGCAGAUGCCCAUGUUAUGCUUCCUGUACAGCCUGAAGAACUAUGAGCCAAUUAAACUUUUUUUCUUUAUAAGUUACCUAAGCUCAGAUUUUUUUUAUAGCAAUACAAGAAUGGCCUAAUAGAGUUAGGAAGAAGCCUGUCCGAAGUACAGUCAGGCUGAGGGGAGCUUUAAGGCCAUCUUGAUGGGGGGAAGUCUUUUAGUACCCUAAUGCAAGCAGAUGUUGGCAGAGAGGGAGAGCAUAACUUGUGGUGCUUGGGGUGCCUGGCCCUAGAGGGAACAGAAGGGCCAGAAUCCAGAGCACAAGUGGGAUUGUAUGGGCUGACAAGUAAAAGUAUAUGAUAGCAAUAGUGUAUGAUAGCAUGUGUGUAAGUCCAUUCUGUAUUGCCACAAAAGAAUACCUGAAGUUGGGUAAUUAAUAAAGGGGUUUAUUUGGCUCACUGUUUUGCAUCCUCUACAAGCAUGGCACUAGUGUCUGCUUGGCUUCUGGUGAGGCCUCAAGAAGCUUUUACUCAUGGCAGAAGGAAAGGGGAGCCAGUGUGUCACAUGGCAAGAGAAAGAGCAAGAAGUGGGGAUGGUGCCAGGCUCCUUUUAACAACCAGAUCUUACAUGAAACUCGUUACCACUGGUAAGGCACAAAGCCAUUCGUGAGGCAUCCUCACCCAUGGCCCAAACACCUCCAAGCAGGCCCCACUUCUAACAUUAGGGAUCACAUUUCCCAUGAGAUUUGGAGGGGACACACAUUGAAACUAUAUCAGCAUAUUAAACAAAACCAUUCCUCAUGUGGUCAAAGUACAAACUAUUUUUUGUUUUUGUCUUUUUUUGUUGUUAUUUUGUGAUGGCGUCUUGUUAUAUUUUGCCCAGGCUGGAGUGCAGUGACAUGAUCUCAGCCUCUGCCUCCCAGGUUCCAGCGAUUCUCCUGUCUCAGCCUCCCAAGUAGCUGGGAUUACAAGCAUGUGCCACCGCGCCCAGCUAAUUUUUGUAUUUUUAGUAGAGACGGGGUUUCACCAUGUUGGCCAGGCUGGUCUUGAACUCCUGACCUCAGGUGAUCUGCCUGGCUCGGCCUCCCAAAGUGCUUGGAUUACAGGCAUGAGCCACCGCACCUGGCCAGGACUUUAUUUUUUAUCACUAAGCUUUCCUUUAAAAUCUCUGUGCUAGGCCAGGUGCUGUGGCUCACGCCUAUAAUCCCAGCACUUUGGGAGGCUGCGGUGCAAGGAUAACUUGAGCCCAGGAGUUUGAGACCAGCCUGGGCAACAUAGUGAAACCCCAUCUCUUUAAAAAAAUGAAAUAAAAUCUCUCUAUGAGAAUAUAAGGCACUAGAAGCAGGAAUUUUUAUCUGUCAUGUUCACUGCUAUGUCCCCAACACCUAAAACAGUGCCAGGCAUCUGUUGAAUAAAUGAAUGAAUGAGGUGGGAAGUCUUUCCUUACACUUAGAUGAAAACUCCAUCAUUCCCCAAAUUGUCUGGUCUUGUUCAGGUAAUUAUUUCAAUUCUAUAAUAAAAUCUUAAGUUAUAAUAUGCUCAGUUUGAUAAUUAGGAUGCCCAGUGUUGUAUAAUAAUUAAAGCCUUAAAUUUCCUUUCUCCCCUACGGCUGGGGUCAAAGAAGACCAUGUGGCUGGCUGCUUUUCUGUAUUUUCAUUUAUCUCCACCCCCAGUUUACCAGCAGUGGCUAUCCUCUCUCCCAGACUGGGCCAGGGGUCAGAAGGGUAGUCUUACAAGGCAAGGGUCUUUGCUGGCAGAUGUUCUGGGCCUUCUUGACAGCAGGUGUUUAAAGCUGAAUCGGGUUGUAGUUUCAGGAAAGUGAUGUUUUGGGAUGGUAACUGAAGUAGAUGUUGAAGAUAAAGUAUCAUAUUAAUAAAACAUUUCCCAUUAGCACCUUGGCACAAAUUAAAACUAGCUGUACCUCACUGAUAAGGACCUGGAUGGUCCAGUAAUGAUGAAUGAUUUAUCGGGAGUAGGGGGUGCAGGGGGAAUUGGGUGGAAGCAGUAGUAACAAAUUCAAAUUAAGGAGUAGUCAUAAGGUAAUUAUUAUCUAGUCUCACCUCCACAUUUUAUAAUUGAAGAAAUCGAAUAAAACAAGAGGAGAAGUAACAGCUUUAUAGCAUGUGGUUGGGGAAAAACAUAUCUUUUCUGGGGCUAGACAGUCCAUAAAUAGGAGUUGGAAAUGGAAGUGUAGGGGAAAAUUCCAUUGUAGUUCAGUGGAAAACUGCAUUGUCUGGAGGCUAGACUCUGGACUAAGACAUUUCUUUCCUGGCUGUCUGAUUUUGAUUCUAUGGGAGCUAUCUAAAACUCUGUAAGCUGUAGGUAACUGAUAGCAGAGCAAAGUAAUUCUUGUCCAUAGAUGUGUAAACCAUGUCUUAGUGCAGAGUCAGCCUACUUCCCUUCCCCAGUUUUGCUUCUAUUAGCACAUUUAUUUCAGUAAUUUUGAUCUUUGGAUUCUACUUGGACAUUCCUCACUAAAAAAUUAAAUAAAAUUUUUGGCAUGUGCUCUUCUUUUGCA
Non-coding RNA from Callithrix jacchus (white-tufted-ear marmoset), 32079 nucleotides. NCBI's taxonomy places the organism in Eukaryota, Metazoa, Chordata, Mammalia, Primates, Cebidae. The record is from RefSeq and is a predicted model, not a curated record.